Molecule: long non-coding RNA, 514 nt
Filed under: Helianthus annuus (common sunflower)
Lineage: Eukaryota; Viridiplantae; Streptophyta; Magnoliopsida; Asterales; Asteraceae
Description: hypothetical non coding rna
Source: RNAcentral
GUGUGUCUCAUCAAUGUCGAACCAUUUGUCCCUAACCCUGCGUGAAGAUUCUUGUUUCAAAAUGCGAGGAUCAACAACGCCAACCCACGCUGCGAAUUGCACGACAACCCAAGAGAAAGAGGACGCGUGAAAGAUAAAGAAAAGAGAACGCCAUACCCGACGGCCUUCCGCGGUGGGAAAAGGUUGACAUCGCCUCCGCCGUGAAUCACGGAGAUCGACCGGGGUGACGGGCUUUGUUGUUAUCGCUUGAGUUCCGUUUCGUCCCUGUUCCUCUCUUCGCUAGCCGCUUACUCAUCCAUAGAACUCACAAUAAGCGCCGCCGUUGGCCGGAGAAAACGGGCGGAGCGGAAAAGGCAUGAAGAAGAAGAAAAAGAAUCGGGGUCAAUCUUGAAAGAUGAUUUGUUUGUGUCUAACUAGAAGCCCUAAUCGUUCAAAUCGAAUUGUGAUAAGAACAGAGGAUUUGAAGCAUAAGAUUUCGAAAUUUGAAUCGACUGAGAUCGAUUUUAGAUUCUUU